RNAcentral lists this ribosomal RNA (116 nucleotides) under Pteropus alecto (black flying fox). Lineage: Eukaryota; Metazoa; Chordata; Mammalia; Chiroptera; Pteropodidae. The record is from RNAcentral.
GUCUAUGGCCAUGCCACCCUGAACAAGCCUGAUGUCUGAUCUUGGAAACUAAGCAGGGUCGGGCCUGGUUAGUACUUGGAUAGGAGACCACCUAGGAAAACCAGGUGCUAUAGUCA